CAGGCCCCUCUGACCUUUCAGCAUGCCUGAUGACCAAGGCCCAAACCCACAGGACAACAAUAUCUCCCCUUCCCACAGCUGCAUCUGUCAUAUCUCCCAAUGGGUUUUAUAAUUGACGUUUAUGACUUGACCCAGGUGGCUGGGACAGCUGGUCUCCUUUCGACAAAGCAGGAGGAGGGAAGACUGUGCCUAGUCUAUCAGAAGGCCUGGAGCUCCUUGCAAAGAAGAGCGGCACGGCAGACUGGCCACCUUGGUAACGGAUGGGGCGUCCCCCCAGGGUGGUGGCGGGAGAAAAGCUUGUGGGGGCAGCCGGACAUUUGGCUGUGGCACCUGCGACCCAGAUAUCUGGAACCUUAAGGACCUGAGGAAAGGAGGGCAGGCACACCCGCGCCCUCCCGCCUCCCUGACUGCGACAGGGGAGAUGCCAUCACAAACCUCCUGGGACCAGACCAGGCCUCACCACAAGAGCUACACCUAUGACCUUUGCCUUGUUUUUAAUGCUAAGAUCUCUCCAGGAGCGGCUCAGGCCUUAUUACCAUCACCUGCAGUGUGUGUGGAAGCAGGUUUUCCAUCUGCGCCUGUGCAAGAGGAUACUCACCUUUCCCUUUUGAACAUUCAUUCCCCAUCUGAAAUAAAUGUCCCUCCUUCCCUUUCUUUGGGGACACUAUGACUCUGGAAAUGAUUCCUCAUGGUCUCCUAUUUGCCACAAAUAUACCUUACUUUGUGAGACUACUACUUCUGGUGGAGAGUCUGAUUUAACUCACCAGAAGGGAACCCACUUUGCUUUCAGUAACAAAUUGGUGCCUGACUUGGGGCUUGCCUCUUUGCGGUGCUUAUGCUGCUGGCUUGAUGUUGCUGCCCCCUUGGGAGACCCAGCAGCAGCUACACUGAGCGCU
Molecule: long non-coding RNA, 896 nt
Filed under: Equus asinus (donkey)
Lineage: Eukaryota; Metazoa; Chordata; Mammalia; Perissodactyla; Equidae
Description: lncRNA (ENSEASG00005037943.1)
Source: RNAcentral